UGUCGCCGUGUGGAUUUUGAUCGGAUACCUGACACAUUUGGGGUUUAUUGCUGUGCUGAGUAAUCACGUAUAUGGAAGACUUGAGGCGAUGAGAUGUCUAGAAGGUGAAAGAAGUACUAAUGAUGGAUAAAACUGGAUUUAAAUUGACUAUUUGCUAUUCUCAGACCCAAGCGCUCUUGAAUUGUCUGUUAUAUUGUCAAGGCCUUAACUUGGUCAAAAAGGUUCUGAUGUUAAGUUUGUACUUUUUGUUAAAAAAGUUUUUAUUUGCUGACAAAUGUAGAUUAAAUGUAUAUUAAGAGUCCUGAAGUAAUAAAUCAUAACACGCAGGAUGUGAUGUAUGGAGGUCUGGAAAGCAGUUUCAUGUGGGUCAUCUAAUGUGAUUUUUAAUUAAGCUGUUAUGACAUUGAUAAUAGAGUGCAGAUUGCUUUGGGUUUGGAAUAACAACAACACCGGGUCGACCACUCUGGCACACUUUUUCCUCCCACAGCACCACUUUAAAGGCGAAAGCUUUUGUAAACUGGCCUUUCAACACUUGUUUUGAUUCCCUCCCGUAAUAUUAUGAAACAUCUCCUCGCAGUUUAAAAAACACAAAGACAGAAAAUCCAAUCCAACGGGUGAGCCGUGUCCAAUUACGUUUGCUGUAUCAUCAUUUUGCCCCGUUGCUCACUGCAAGGUUGCUAUGCAGGCUAGAGUAAACGAGUAGAUACUGGUGCCCAUAGUAUGUGGGGGAGGUUUUGCUGGCGAGAUAAACAAGAAGCCAGCCAUCGUUAGGCGUAAGGCACCAGAAACAUGGCGGCGGCAGUUAACUAUAAUGCUGUUUCACCAACCCGAAGGUCAGAGCUGGACAUAACGUGCAGGAUUUAAAAGGAAACAAAACACUAUUGAGAGAAGUGAAUAAUGCCCAAAGAUUUCCACUGGUCCCACUGCUGCAGAAAUGCCCUGAGGCUGAGUCUGGACUGAAGCCAAGGU
Long non-coding RNA from Sinocyclocheilus rhinocerous, 969 nucleotides. RefSeq lists it as uncharacterized. The transcript has 3 exons. The record is from RefSeq and is a predicted model, not a curated record. Lineage: Eukaryota; Metazoa; Chordata; Actinopteri; Cypriniformes; Cyprinidae.